UUGAUAGUCAUGGGAACUAAAAAUCUUCUAUUUAACUGAAAAGAACAGGGGAAAGGGCAGUGCAGGCUUCAGUGCAAGCUUCCCUACAGUGGGCCUUAAUCCUUUUCAGUGUUCACACCCUGGGGGUGAGAGGACAGGUUAGUGGUUCUUUACCAAUGAAUCUUCAGUCCCA
Molecule: small RNA, 172 nt
Filed under: Canis lupus dingo (dingo)
Lineage: Eukaryota; Metazoa; Chordata; Mammalia; Carnivora; Canidae
Description: TUC338 (ENSCAFG00020001726.1)
Source: RNAcentral